RNAcentral lists this ribosomal RNA (658 nucleotides) under uncultured Alphaproteobacteria bacterium. Its description in RNAcentral is "bacterial SSU rRNA". It matches the Rfam family "Bacterial small subunit ribosomal RNA", at positions 55 to 761 of the family's 1533-position model. The record is from RNAcentral. Lineage: Bacteria; Pseudomonadati; Pseudomonadota; Alphaproteobacteria.
AUGCAAGUCGAGCGCCCUUUCGGGGGAGCGGCGGACGGGUGAGUAACGCGUGGGAACGUGCCCUUUGGUACAGAACAACUGAGGGAAACUUCAGCUAAUACCGUAUGUGCCCUAUGGGGGAAAGAUUUAUCGCCAUUGGAGCGGCCCGCGUUAGAUUAGCUAGUUGGUAGGGUAAUGGCCUACCAAGGCGACGAUCUAUAGCUGGUCUGAGAGGAUGAUCAGCCACACUGGGACUGAGACACGGCCCAGACUCCUACGGGAGGCAGCAGUAGGGAAUCUUGCGCAAUGGGCGAAAGCCUGACGCAGCCAUGCCGCGUGAAUGAUGAAGGUCUUAGGAUUGUAAAAUUCUUUCACCGGGGACGAUAAUGACGGUACCCGGAGAAGAAGCCCCGGCUAACUUCGUGCCAGCAGCCGCGGUAAUACGAAGGGGGCUAGCGUUGCUCGGAAUUACUGGGCGUAAAGGGCGCGUAGGCGGACAGUUUAGUCAGAGGUGAAAGCCCAGGGCUCAACCUUGGAAUUGCCUUUGAUACUGGCUGUCUUGAGUACGGGAGAGGUGAGUGGAACUCCGAGUGUAGAGGUGAAAUUCGUAGAUAUUCGGAGGGACACCAGUGGCGAAGGCGACUCACUGGGCCGUUACUGACGCUGAGGCGCGAAAGCG